GACGAACGCUGGCGGCGUGCCUAAUACAUGCAAGUUGAGCGCUGAAGGUUGGUACUUGUACCAACUGGAUGAGCAGCGAACGGGUGAGUAACGCGUGGGGAAUCUGCCUUUGAGCGGGGGACAACAUUUGGAAACGAAUGCUAAUACCGCAUAAAAACUUUAAACACAAGUUUUAAGUUUGAAAGAUGCAAUUGCAUCACUCAAAGAUGAUCCCGCGUUGUAUUAGCUAGUUGGUGAGGUAAAGGCUCACCAAGGCGAUGAUACAUAGCCGACCUGAGAGGGUGAUCGGGCAAAUUGGGACUGAGACACGGCCCAAACUCCUACGGGAGGCAGCAGUAGGGGAUCUUCGGCAAUAGACGAAAGUCUGACCGAGCAACGCCGCGUGAGUGAAGAAGGUUUUCGGAUCGUAAAACUCUGUUGGUAGAGAAGAAAGUUGGUGAGAGUGGAAAGCGCAUCAAGUGACGGUAACUACACAGAAAGGGACGGCUAACUACGUG
Molecule: ribosomal RNA, 497 nt
Filed under: uncultured bacterium
Lineage: Bacteria
Description: partial 16S ribosomal RNA
Rfam family: Bacterial small subunit ribosomal RNA
Source: RNAcentral